RNAcentral lists this ribosomal RNA (511 nucleotides) under uncultured bacterium. RNAcentral's name for it is "bacterial SSU rRNA". It matches the Rfam family "Bacterial small subunit ribosomal RNA", at positions 355 to 883 of the family's 1533-position model. The record is from RNAcentral.
UGGGGAAUCUUGCACAAUGGACGAAAGUCUGAUGCAGCGACGCCGCGUGCGUGAUGACGCCCUUCGGGGUGUAAAGCGCUUUCGACAGGAACGAUAAUGACGGUACCUGGAGAAGAAGCUGCGGCUAACUACGUGCCAGCAGCCGCGGUAAUACGUAGGCAGCAAGCGUUGUUCGGAGUUACUGGGCGUAAAGAGUCUGUAGGCGGUGCUCUAAGUUUGGUGUGAAAUCCCCCGGCUUAACCGGGAGGGUGCGCCGAAGACUGGGGUGCUGGGAGUACGGGAGAGGAAAGCGGAAUUCCUGGUGUAGCGGUGAAAUGCGUAGAGAUCAGGAGGAACACCGGUGGUGUAGACGGCUUUCUGGACCGUGACUGACGCUGAGAGACGAAAGCGUGGGGAGCAAACAGGAUUAGAUACCCUGGUAGUCCACGCCCUAAACGAUGCAUACUUGGUGUGCGCCAUUCAGUUGGUGCGUGCCGGAGCUAACGCGUUAAGUAUGCCGCCUGGGGAGUAC